Non-coding RNA from Danio rerio (zebrafish), 115 nucleotides. NCBI's taxonomy places the organism in Eukaryota, Metazoa, Chordata, Actinopteri, Cypriniformes, Danionidae. The record is from Rfam.
GCCAGCAGCUAGCUCUCUGCAACUCUCACAUGGUCGCCCACUGAAGCUAAGCAGGGCUGCGCCCGGUCAGUACCUGGAUGGGAGACCACAUGGGAAAGCUAGGUUGCUGCUGGAA